This 497-nucleotide ribosomal RNA is filed under the name uncultured bacterium. RNAcentral describes it as "partial 16S ribosomal RNA". It matches the Rfam family "Bacterial small subunit ribosomal RNA", at positions 28 to 507 of the family's 1533-position model. The record is from RNAcentral.
GACGAACGCUGGCGGCGUGCCUAAUACAUGCAAGUAGAACGCUGAAGCUUGGUGCUUGCACCGAGCGGAUGAGUUGCGAACGGGUGAGUAACGCGUAGGUGACCUGCCUGGUAGCGGGGGAUAACUAUUGGAAACGAUAGCUAAUACCGCAUAAGAGUAGAUGUUGCAUGACAUUUGCUUAAAAGGUGCAAUUGCAUCACUACCAGAUGGACCUGCGUUGUAUUAGCUAGUUGGUGAGGUAACGGCUCACCAAGGCAACGAUACAUAGCCGACCUGAGAGGGUGAUCGGCCACACUGGGACUGAGACACGGCCCAGACUCCUACGGGAGGCAGCAGUAGGGAAUCUUCGGCAAUGGACGGAAGUCUGACCGAGCAACGCCGCGGGAGCGAAGAAGGUUUUCGGAUCGUAAAGCUCUGUUGUAAGAGAAGAACGAGUGUGAGAGUGGAAAGUUCACACUGUGACGGUAUCUUACCAGAAAGGGACGGCUAACUACGUG